RNAcentral lists this ribosomal RNA (329 nucleotides) under uncultured eukaryote. RNAcentral describes it as "partial 18S ribosomal RNA". It matches the Rfam family "Eukaryotic small subunit ribosomal RNA", at positions 1470 to 1796 of the family's 1831-position model. The record is from RNAcentral.
CCCUUAGAUGUUCUGGGCCGCACGCGCGCUACACUGAUGCAUUCAACGAGUUUUUCCUGGUCCGAGAGGAAUGGGUAACCUUUUGAAAGUGCAUCGUGCUAGGGAUAGACUAUUGCAAUUAUUGGUCUUCAACGAGGAAUUCCCAGUAAGUGCAAGUCAUAAGCUUGCGCUGACUACGUCCCUGCCCUUUGUACACACCGCCCGUCGCUACUACCGAUUGAAUGAUUUAGUGAGGACUUCGGACUGGGACCGAUGCGGCUUUCGGGCUGCGUCGGUAUUCUGGAAAGAUGUCCAAACUGUAUCAUUUAGAGGAAGUAAAAGUCGUAACA